This 253-nucleotide ribosomal RNA is filed under the name uncultured bacterium. RNAcentral describes it as "partial 16S ribosomal RNA". It matches the Rfam family "Bacterial small subunit ribosomal RNA", at positions 524 to 776 of the family's 1533-position model. The record is from RNAcentral.
UACGUAGGGGGCAAGCGUUGUCCGGAAUCAUUGGGCGUAAAGAGCGCGUAGGCGGUCCGGUAAGUCCGCUCUGAAAGUCCGGGGCUCAACCCCGGGAGGCGGGCGGAUACUGUCGGGCUAGAGUCCGGAAGAGGCGAGUGGAAUUCCUGGUGUAGCGGUGAAAUGCGCAGAUAUCAGGAGGAACACCAAUGGCGAAGGCAGCUCACUGGGACGGUACUGACGCUGAGACGCGAAAGCGUGGGGAGCAAACAGG